AACAGGCUGACAAGACCACAGAGGCCCCUGACAACAGAGACUCACUAACUCAACGCUCUUUCCCUCCUGUGGAAUGUGGAGGCUUCACACUGGAGACUGCUGGGGUUUGCCGCAGCUGGUAACAAUCCCCUUUUCCCCCAGAAUUCGAUGACCCAUCAACUAAAUUAAAAUUCUGACCGUGCUUCCACAUGGAUGAAUCCAGAACACGCGAUGCUGAGUGGAGGAGGCCAGAGGCAAAGGAUGGCAGGUUGUACAAUCCCAUUCACCCAUGCCGAGGCAUCCAUCAACGUCGUCGCUGGGACGGCCGAUUAGAUAAAUCAGGGGCUGGUAACUAACUCACUUCUGCUGCACCUGAG
Nycticebus coucang (slow loris) is the source of this 356-nucleotide long non-coding RNA. RefSeq lists it as uncharacterized. The transcript has 4 exons. NCBI's taxonomy places the organism in Eukaryota, Metazoa, Chordata, Mammalia, Primates, Lorisidae. The record is from RefSeq and is a predicted model, not a curated record.